UGAGUAACCUGCCCUUAACUCUGGGAUAAGCCCGGGAAACUGGGUCUAAUACCGGAUACGACCUUCCCUCGCAUGGGGGUUGGUGGAAAGUUCUUCGGCUGAGGAUGGGCCCGCGGCCUAUCAGCUUGUUGGUGGGGUGAUGGCCUACCAAGGCGACGACGGGUAGUCGGCCUGAGAGGGUGACCGGCCACACUGGGACUGAGACACGGCCCAGACUCCUACGGGAGGCAG
This 231-nucleotide ribosomal RNA is filed under the name uncultured bacterium. RNAcentral describes it as "partial 16S ribosomal RNA". It matches the Rfam family "Bacterial small subunit ribosomal RNA", at positions 118 to 351 of the family's 1533-position model. The record is from RNAcentral.